This 280-nucleotide ribosomal RNA is filed under the name uncultured bacterium. RNAcentral's name for it is "partial 16S ribosomal RNA". It matches the Rfam family "Bacterial small subunit ribosomal RNA", at positions 506 to 784 of the family's 1533-position model. The record is from RNAcentral.
UGCCAGCCGCCGCGGUAAUACGGAGGGUGCGAGCGUUGUUCGGAAUCACUGGGCGUAAAGGGCGUGUAGGCGGUUAUAUAAGCUAAGAGUGAAAUCCCCAAGCUCACCUUGGGAACCGCUCUUAGAACUGUAUUGGCUAGAGUAUGUCAGGGGCAGAUGGAAUUCCUGGAGUAGAGGUGAAAUUCGUAGAUAUCAGGAGGAACACCGGUGGCGAAAGCGAUCUGCUGGGGCAUAACUGACGCUGAGGCGCGAAAGCAUGGGUAGCAAACAGGAUUAGAUA